UACACACCAAAGCAGAUGUCAAAACACUAUUCAUCAAAUAUCUCUCUCAAAACUUUAUCAAAUCUUUUCAAAUUUGCAGCAGUUAUCAAUGGAGGCAGCAGGAAUCGAUUGAGGGUAUCGCAUUGUCUAAUUUGAAGAAUUGGGCUUGUUUGGGGUUUUGCUCAUUGUUAUCUGUAAUGGAAGAUGCUGUUGCCCUUGAUGUCUAUGAAUCCUCGCUCACCUCAGUAGAGGGGGAUAAUGUGACAGGUUAGCAUCUGUUAGUAGUCAAUUUACACAACCAAUCCCCUACCACUCCACACUCACGCGCUCAUGUGUGCAGUGUGCUUAUGAAUACUCCCCUCCUCACAAUUCCACUCUGUGAUUGUGUAGUCUCUAAUGAUUCCUCCACUCCACACCUCAUCUUGAUGUGAUCUCUGAUAUUCUUCUGUUCUGAUUCCUCUUCUAUAAGAGCCUCUUUGUAUGACCCUUUCUUCUAAUCUCUUCUCUCUUUCCCCUCUUAAUCAGUAAGUAGGAUAGUGCUUAGUCUGUUAAUUGGUAGUACGCCCGUUACAAAUUCAAAGAAUUCUGUUACAGUGUGGCGCACUCACUAAUGGGAGGUAGUGAGAUGCGCUUGGUACAGUUAGUGGCCAAUGUCUCAUGAUAGAAUCCAUUCUGCUU
This 657-nucleotide small RNA is filed under the name Histoplasma ohiense. RNAcentral's name for it is "hypothetical lncRNA". The record is from RNAcentral. Lineage: Eukaryota; Fungi; Ascomycota; Eurotiomycetes; Onygenales; Ajellomycetaceae.